This 253-nucleotide ribosomal RNA is filed under the name uncultured bacterium. RNAcentral describes it as "partial 16S ribosomal RNA". It matches the Rfam family "Bacterial small subunit ribosomal RNA", at positions 524 to 776 of the family's 1533-position model. The record is from RNAcentral.
UACGUAGGGGGCAAGCGUUGUCCGGAUUUAUUGGGCGUAAAGAGCGUGUAGGCGGCCAGGUAGGUCUGCUGUGAAAACUCGAGGCUCAACCUCGAGACGUCGGCGGAAACCAUCUGGCUAGAGUCCGGAAGAGGAGAGUGGAAUUCCUGGUGUAGCGGUGAAAUGCGUAGAUAUCAGGAAGAACACCCGUGGCGAAGGCGGGUCUCUGGACAGUUCCUGACGCUGAGGCACGAAGGUCAGGGGAGCAAACGGG